This 460-nucleotide ribosomal RNA is filed under the name uncultured bacterium. RNAcentral's name for it is "partial 16S ribosomal RNA". It matches the Rfam family "Bacterial small subunit ribosomal RNA", at positions 338 to 795 of the family's 1533-position model. The record is from RNAcentral.
CCUACGGGGGGCAGCAGUGAGGAAUAUUGGUCAAUGGACGAGAGUCUGAACCAGCCAAGUAGCGUGAAGGAUGACUGCCCUAUGGGUUGUAAACUUCUUUUAUAUGGGAAUAAAACGUUCCACGUGUGGGAUUUUGUAUGUACCAUAUGAAUAAGGAUCGGCCAACUCCGUGCCAGCAGCCGCGGUAAUACGGAGGAUCCGAGCGUUAUCCGGAUUUAUUGGGUUUAAAGGGCGCGUAGGUGGGUUGUUAAGUCAGUUGUGAAAGUUUGCGGCUCAACCGUAAAAUUGCAGUUGAAACUGGCAGUCUUGAGUACAGUAGAGGUAGGCGGAAUUCGUGGUGUAGCGGUGAAAUGCUUAGAUAUCACGAGGAACUCCGGUUGCGAAGGCAGUUCACUGGACUGCAACUGACACUGAGGCUCGAAAGUGUGGGUAUCAAACAGGAUUAGAUACCCGGGUAGUC